RNAcentral lists this ribosomal RNA (239 nucleotides) under uncultured bacterium. RNAcentral describes it as "partial 16S ribosomal RNA". It matches the Rfam family "Bacterial small subunit ribosomal RNA", at positions 100 to 334 of the family's 1533-position model. The record is from RNAcentral.
CCGGCACGGGUGAGUAACACGUAUCCAACCUGCCGUCUACUCUUGGCCAGCCUUCUGAAAGGAAGAUUAAUCCAGGAUGGCAUCAUGAGUUCACAUGUCCGCAUGAUUAAAGGUAUUUUCCGGUAGACGAUGGGGAUGCGUUCCAUUAGGCAGUUGGUGGGGUAACGGCCCACCAAACCUUCGAUGGAUAGGGGUUCUGAGAGGAAGGUCCCCCACAUUGGAACUGAGACACGGUCCAA